GUCCCCAUCGUCUAGAGGCCUAGGACAUCGCCCUUUCACGGCGAGAACAGGGGUUCGAACCCCCUUGGGGACGCCA
This 76-nucleotide transfer RNA is filed under the name Legionella longbeachae. RNAcentral's name for it is "tRNA-Glu". It matches the Rfam family "tRNA". From Rfam's summary of the family: Transfer RNA (tRNA) molecules are approximately 80 nucleotides in length. Lineage: Bacteria; Pseudomonadati; Pseudomonadota; Gammaproteobacteria; Legionellales; Legionellaceae. RNAcentral also lists the same sequence under 2 other names. The record is from RNAcentral.